UAUGUGGUUUAUUAUCAAAAUGAAACGC
Molecule: small RNA, 28 nt
Filed under: Bombyx mori (domestic silkworm)
Lineage: Eukaryota; Metazoa; Arthropoda; Insecta; Lepidoptera; Bombycidae
Description: ovarian small RNA-24044
Source: RNAcentral